RNAcentral lists this unclassified non-coding RNA (325 nucleotides) under Nocardia veterana. RNAcentral's name for it is "16S-23S ribosomal RNA intergenic spacer region". Lineage: Bacteria; Bacillati; Actinomycetota; Actinomycetes; Mycobacteriales; Nocardiaceae. The record is from RNAcentral.
AAGGAGCAUCUCCAACGCUCGUGCCACACAGGUGGUGUCGAGGUUGGCAGAGCCGCUUAUGUUCCCGAAUGUGGAACUGCGGAGCUCAUGGGUGGAACGCUGACAAGCUCUUCUCGUUCAACGCUGGUCCUCAGUGGCUGGCCAGGGAAGAUAUAUCGACACACUGUUGGGUCCUGAAAGAACAGACGUUCUUUCCAGGCAAAAGAUACGACAAGGUUUUCUCCGCGUGUCAUACCGCGGGAUUUCUUCCCGGCUGGUGCCGCAGUGGUGAGAAGGUCUUGUGUGUUGUUUGAGAACUGCACAGUGGACGCGAGCAUCUUUGUUU